AAAUUGAAGAGUUUGAUCAUGGCUCAGAUUGAACGCUGGCGGCAGGCCUAACACAUGCAAGUCGAACGGUAGCACAGAGAGCUUGCUCUCGGGUGACGAGUGGCGGACGGGUGAGUAAUGUCUGGGAAACUGCCUGAUGGAGGGGGAUAACUACUGGAAACGGUGGCUAAUACCGCAUAACGUCGCAAGACCAAAGAGGGGGACCUUC
RNAcentral lists this ribosomal RNA (208 nucleotides) under Salmonella enterica subsp. enterica serovar Infantis. Its description in RNAcentral is "partial 16S ribosomal RNA". It matches the Rfam family "Bacterial small subunit ribosomal RNA", at positions 1 to 218 of the family's 1533-position model. RNAcentral also lists the same sequence under 5 other names. The record is from RNAcentral. Lineage: Bacteria; Pseudomonadati; Pseudomonadota; Gammaproteobacteria; Enterobacterales; Enterobacteriaceae.